This 301-nucleotide ribosomal RNA is filed under the name uncultured bacterium. RNAcentral's name for it is "partial 16S ribosomal RNA". It matches the Rfam family "Bacterial small subunit ribosomal RNA", at positions 509 to 807 of the family's 1533-position model. The record is from RNAcentral.
CAGCAGCCACGGUAAUACGAAGGGUGCAAGCGUUAAUCGGAAUUACUGGGCGUAAAGCGUGCGUAGGCGGUUUGUUAAGUCUGCUGUGAAAUCCCCGGGCUCAACCUGGGAAUGGCAGUGGAUACUGGCAAGCUAGAGUGUGUCAGAGGAUGGUGGAAUUCCCGGUGUAGCGGUGAAAUGCGUAGAGAUCGGGAGGAACAUCAGUGGCGAAGGCGGCCAUCUGGGACAACACUGACGCUGAGGCACGACAGCGUGGGGAGCAAACAGGAUUAGAUACCCCCGUAGUCCCUGUCUCUUAUAC